This 620-nucleotide long non-coding RNA is filed under the name Anas platyrhynchos platyrhynchos (common mallard). RNAcentral describes it as "lncRNA (ENSAPLG00000018438.1)". The record is from RNAcentral. Lineage: Eukaryota; Metazoa; Chordata; Aves; Anseriformes; Anatidae.
UGCAAGUCCAGGGAAAGUGAGAAGUGUUUUGUUGUUGGAAGCAUCUGUUUACAGCAAGAAUUCAAGGACGAAAUCCUCAUGUGAUGCUUAGUGUCCAUGCUGCUCUCCUGGGGGUCAUGAGCAACGUGACUGAUGGCCUUGGCUGACUGCAACUGACACCAAGGGAUCUUUUCUGAAUGAGACACUAGGGAAGCAAUAAAUAUCAGCUGUAAGGAUGGGGAUGUCUUUGUAGUCCUGGCUCACUAAAAGUGAAUAAGCAAUGCAAAUCCCUAGGCAGCUCAGCACCUCCCAGGAUGGGGGAAUGUGGUCUGCAGUGCUCUUGUGUAUGCUUUGCUUUGGAUUUGGUGAGAUAUCUUUGCAGAUGUGCCUGCACAUCUGCAACACAAUGCCAGCAAAACCUGGGUACUUGAACUUUUAUUUAAAGUAGAGCAUUUUUCUCAUUUUUGGCCUGAAAGUUUUCAGAUUCCAUUCUCUGUAGUUUAGCUGAGGACCCCGGCAGUUCACCCCUGCUCUUGUGAUGGCUGGCAAAAUUAAGCAGAUGUCUACGGUUUUUAUUUGCUCAAUGAUUCUUCAGAGCAGACAUAAAUAAACAAAGAUAUUACUACGAUAUUUAGAAUUUU